CGAUCUUAAUAAGGAAGAAACUGGUGCCUAAGGCUCUAAGCUCUAUUUGUGAGAGAGAGUGUGCCUUAAAUCAUUGCUUUGACUGUGUAACUUCUUUGCGCUCAAUGGCUUGCAAGGAUGGGUCUCUAACAGAGCUGUUAAACGGGCUCAGCUACAAGAGUUGUUGCAAGUGUGCACCUGUCUAGUAACAGCAAGUUAAAAGAUAGGUGCUUGAAUAAAUCAGUCAACAGGUUUUAUGAAAGACUUGGGAGAAGAGAGGACAGCAGAAAGUAGCUGUAAUGCUAAUCAAAAAUGAAAGAUGUUCUGAAAGCAUGUGAGAACAGGCAAAUGUUAGCAGGUGUUGCAAAUGUCCAGGCUUAGAAGCAGAGUUUGAACCACAAUGGGUAAAACUACUUUGACAUAGGUUAAACAGUAGUAAAAAUGCUAGUUUAGCCAUGUAAUCUCAGAGAAGGAAAUUCUCAUUUAGGAGUGGAUCGGAAUGCCUUGGACUGUGAAGUUUUGGUUUCUUUAAUAGAGAAUCUUCUAUCCAGCUUGGGCCUGAACUACUUACACUGUGUGUUCACUUGAUUGUUCCUUCUUUGAAUGGUUUAUUUUUCUUUUUUUUUUUUGUGUUGGAAAAUCCAGGUCUUAAGCUACCUCUUGCAGCACCUCUAUUAAUGUAAGCUUUCUUAGUGACCAUUUCCAUUGUAUUUCAGAUCAUCAGGAGCAGUUUCCAAGGAGACUACCUCCUUGUGGGUUGAAUCUUCAGCAGGUGCAUAUUAGCUCAUUUCCAGCAAAGUCUGCAGGCAGAAAAUCAACUUCUCUCUUGGCUGACCUUUCCUCACCUGCUUCCCGUUUUAUCCUCUCAUGGAUGCAACUUUCCCUGCAGGAAAAAGUGAAUGAGGCCUUUUGUGAGGGGUGAGGACUGGGGCAUUUACACUGAUGUGAUUAUUCAAACUACUGUGACCAUAAAGCUAUGGAGAUGGCAGUGACCUUUUAACCUUGAUGAAAUCAAUAACGGACCAUCUUAACUUCAAGUCAUCUGUUGUUCAGUUUAGACAUACUGCAGUAAAAUAUACAG
This 1060-nucleotide long non-coding RNA is filed under the name Phasianus colchicus (ring-necked pheasant). RNAcentral's name for it is "lncRNA (ENSPCLG00000022019.1)". The record is from RNAcentral. Lineage: Eukaryota; Metazoa; Chordata; Aves; Galliformes; Phasianidae.